RNAcentral lists this ribosomal RNA (419 nucleotides) under uncultured archaeon. RNAcentral describes it as "partial 16S ribosomal RNA". It matches the Rfam family "Archaeal small subunit ribosomal RNA", at positions 323 to 746 of the family's 1478-position model. The record is from RNAcentral.
CUACGGGUGGCUGCAGGCGCGAAAACUUUACAAUGCAGGAAACUGUGAUAAGGGAACCCCGAGUGCCCGUAUACGCGGGCUGUCCUGGUGUUUAAAAUGCACCAGAAGAAAGGGCCGGGCAAGACCGGUGCCAGCCGCCGCGGUAAUACCGGCGGCUCGAGUGGUGACCACUUUUAUUGGGCUUAAAGCGUUCGUAGCUGGACUCUUAAGUCUCUUGGGAAAUCUGCAGGCUUAACCUGCAGGCGUUCAAGAGAUACUGGGAGUCUAGGAACCGGGAGAGGUAAGAGGUACUUCAGGGGUAGAAGUGAAAUUCUGUAAUCCUUGAGGGACCACCGAUGGCGAAGGCAUCUUACCAGAACGGCUUCGACAGUGAGGAACGAAAGCUGGGGGAGCGAACGGGAUUAGAUACCCCCGUAGUC